This 1002-nucleotide long non-coding RNA is filed under the name Medicago truncatula (barrel medic). Its description in RNAcentral is "long non-coding RNA (MTRU_LNC000414)". Lineage: Eukaryota; Viridiplantae; Streptophyta; Magnoliopsida; Fabales; Fabaceae. The record is from RNAcentral.
GGUAAUACAUAGUGUCAAGCAAGAUACUACAACAAAUAUUUAGCAACAUAGGAGGAGGUACUAUGGACAAAGAAGUGAAAAACUGCAAAACAUAAAAGGCUUUUAAUUAAGGAAACCCCGAUAUAGAUCACAAUGUUUCAAAGGAACUAAACCAACCACAACAUAUUUGCUGCAGAACACAAACUCUAGCAGUCUACUUGCCUCAGACCAAACCGGGCGUCGAAAUUGUCUUCUCUGACACCAGAAAAAUGUGAGUUGAAUUGGGAAUAGAACCACACAAAAAACAGAAAAAAUGGUCCAAACAAUCUGCAUCAGCAAGUCAGCAAAAUAGGAUAUAGCAGCAGACCUCUGAAAUGAAUAAAGUGCCGAUGUAAUGUACCACCAAGAAAAUUCUCUAAUUCCUAAACAAGAGUAGGACUCUCUUAAUGUUAUCUCUUGUACUCAUAACAAAGAGAAUAAACAUAUCAAAAGUUUUAAAAAGAAAGGUAACUAACCAUGAACAUAUAAAGAUAUAUCAUUUGUUAAGAGUUCAAUUUUUAAAGACACAUUGAAUUUAAAAUACCAAAAGCUUGUCUACAAAGAACCUAUUGCUAAUAUAACUAACUAUGCAAAAAAUAUCCAGCCUAAAAAACUGCAACAAAAUAUACUCAAAAUUGAACCUUAGGAUAGCUACAAACACUGUGCCAACCUAUAAAUUAUAACAAAAUAAAAAGACAAAAAUUGUGUUAGACUAACUUUGGGGAUGAUUCUAUAAAGAUUCUCUGCAUAAUUUUAAUUUUAAAUGUCUAAGAUUUAUAACAAUGUAAUAAAGUAACAAUAAAUUUCACUAAAUUGAAUCAAUGAUUGGGCAAAGAUUAAAAUUGAAUCAACAAAGUAUAUGAUACAAAAUGGCUAAAAAGAAAAAUUGAAGGCAGACCUGAAUUUGAAGUAGCAGCGCAGGCAAAAAACUUACAUAAACAAAACACACAAUGCCGCGUAACACACACUGACUGCCACAAAAAA